GGAAGGGUGGCAGAGUGGUUGAAUGUACCGCCCUGGAAAGGCGGCAUACGGAAAUUCCGUAUCGAGGGUUCGAAUCCCUCCCCUUCCGCCA
RNAcentral lists this transfer RNA (91 nucleotides) under Sutterella wadsworthensis. RNAcentral describes it as "tRNA-Ser". It matches the Rfam family "tRNA". Rfam says of the family: Transfer RNA (tRNA) molecules are approximately 80 nucleotides in length. Their secondary structure includes four short double-helical elements and three loops (D, anti-codon, and T loops). The record is from RNAcentral. Lineage: Bacteria; Pseudomonadati; Pseudomonadota; Betaproteobacteria; Burkholderiales; Sutterellaceae. RNAcentral also lists the same sequence under 6 other names.